GGCGAUCUGGUCGAGUGGACAGGGCAUGCCGGGCUCGAACCCUGGCAGAUCAUGGCGGCGAUCGUGGUCCUGUUCCUGAUCCUGGGGAUGUUCC
This 94-nucleotide transfer RNA is filed under the name Tistrella bauzanensis. Its description in RNAcentral is "tRNA-Ser". Lineage: Bacteria; Pseudomonadati; Pseudomonadota; Alphaproteobacteria; Geminicoccales; Geminicoccaceae. The record is from RNAcentral.